CGCAGCAACGCCGCGUGGAGGAAGAAGGCCUUCGGGUCGUAAACUCCUUUUGUUGGGGGACGGAGGAAGGACGGUACCUCACGAAGAAGUCACGGCUAACUACGUGC
Molecule: ribosomal RNA, 107 nt
Filed under: uncultured bacterium
Lineage: Bacteria
Description: partial 16S ribosomal RNA
Rfam family: Bacterial small subunit ribosomal RNA
Source: RNAcentral